This 478-nucleotide ribosomal RNA is filed under the name uncultured bacterium. RNAcentral's name for it is "partial 16S ribosomal RNA". It matches the Rfam family "Bacterial small subunit ribosomal RNA", at positions 28 to 507 of the family's 1533-position model. The record is from RNAcentral.
GAUGAACGCUGGCGGCGUGCCUAACACAUGCAAGUCGAACGGAGGCCCGCCUUUAAGACCUUCGGGUCAAAGAGGGGAAGCCUGAGUGGCGGACGGGUGAGUCACACGUGGGCAACCUGGCUCAUAGAGGGGGAUAACGGAGAGAAAUUUCUGCUAAUACCGAAUAAGCACAUCCUGACGCAUGGCAGAGGGUGAAAUGAGAAUCGCUAUGAGAUGGACCCGCGUCUGAUUAGCCAGUUGGCAGGGUAAGAGCCUACCAAAGCGACGAUCAGUAGCCGAUCUGAGAGACUGAACGGCCACAUUGGGACUGAGACACGGCCCAAACUCCUACGGGAGGCAGCAGUGGGGGAUAUUGCACAAUGGGGGGAACCCUGAUGCAGCGACGCCGCGUGAGUGAAGAAGUAUUUCGGGAUGUAAAGCUCUAUCAGCAGGGAAGAUAAUGACAGUACCUGAAUAAGAAGCCCCGGCUAACUACGUG